UGGGGAAUUUUGGACAAUGGGCGAAAGCCUGAUCCAGCAAUGCCGCGUGUGUGAAGAAGGCCUUCGGGUUGUAAAGCACUUUUGUCCGGAAAGAAAUCCUUGGCUCUAAUACAGUCGGGGGAUGACGGUACCGGAAGAAUAAGCACCGGCUAACUACGUGCCAGCAGCCGCGGUAAUACGUAGGGUGCAAGCGUUAAUCGGAAUUACUGGGCGUAAAGCGUGCGCAGGCGGUUUGCUAAGACCGAUGUGAAAUCCCCGGGCUCAACCUGGGAACUGCAUUGGUGACUGGCAGGCUAGAGUAUGGCAGAGGGGGGUAGAAUUCCACGUGUAGCAGUGAAAAUGCGUAGAGAUGUGGAGGAAUACCGAUGGCGAAGGCAGCCCCCUGGGCCAAUACUGACGCUCAUGCACGAAAAGCGUGGGGGAGCAAAACAGGAUUAGAUACCCUGAUAGUCCACGCCCUAAAACGAUGUCAACUAGUUGUUGGGGGAUUCAUUUCCUUAGU
This 502-nucleotide ribosomal RNA is filed under the name uncultured bacterium. Its description in RNAcentral is "partial 16S ribosomal RNA". It matches the Rfam family "Bacterial small subunit ribosomal RNA", at positions 355 to 844 of the family's 1533-position model. The record is from RNAcentral.